This 126-nucleotide small RNA is filed under the name Marmota monax (woodchuck). Lineage: Eukaryota; Metazoa; Chordata; Mammalia; Rodentia; Sciuridae. The record is from RNAcentral.
GCCAGGUGUGGUGAUGCACACCUGUAAUCCCAGUGGCUCGGGAGGCUGAGGCAGGAGGAUCAUGAGUUCAAACCAGCCUCAGCAACUUAACGAGGCCCUAAGCAACUCAGCGAGACCCUGUCUCUA